This 81-nucleotide small nucleolar RNA is filed under the name Castor canadensis (American beaver). RNAcentral describes it as "Small nucleolar RNA MBII-202 (ENSCCNG00000019099.1)". It matches the Rfam family "Small nucleolar RNA MBII-202". From Rfam's summary of the family: MBII-202 is a member of the C/D class of snoRNA which contain the C (UGAUGA) and D (CUGA) box motifs. Lineage: Eukaryota; Metazoa; Chordata; Mammalia; Rodentia; Castoridae. The record is from Rfam by way of RNAcentral.
UGAUGACAUUCUCCGGAAUCGCUGCACUGCGUUGAUGAAAGCGCACUUGAACCCUUUUCCAUCUGACACUGAGCAUUUCGC